UACGAAGGGGGCAAGCGUUGUUCGGAAUUACUGGGCGUAAAGCGUGCGCAGGCGGUUUUGUAAGUCUGUCGUGAAAUCCCCGGGCUCAACCUGGGAAUUGCGAUGGAGACUGCAAGGCUGGAGUCUGGCAGAGGGGGGUAGAAUUCCACGUGUAGCAGUGAAAUGCGUAGAGAUGUGGAGGAACACCGAUGGCGAAGGCAGCCCCCUGGGUCAAGACUGACGCUCAUGCACGAAAGCGUGGGGAGCAAACAGG
RNAcentral lists this ribosomal RNA (253 nucleotides) under uncultured bacterium. RNAcentral describes it as "partial 16S ribosomal RNA". It matches the Rfam family "Bacterial small subunit ribosomal RNA", at positions 524 to 776 of the family's 1533-position model. The record is from RNAcentral.